This 445-nucleotide ribosomal RNA is filed under the name uncultured bacterium. RNAcentral's name for it is "partial 16S ribosomal RNA". It matches the Rfam family "Bacterial small subunit ribosomal RNA", at positions 354 to 796 of the family's 1533-position model. The record is from RNAcentral.
GUGAGGAAUAUUGGUCAAUGGGCGGGAGCCUGAACCAGCCAAGUCGCGUGAAGGAAGAAGGAUCUAUGGUUCGUAAACUUCUUUUGCAGGGGAAUAAAGUGCAGGACGUGUCCUGUUUUGUAUGUACCCUGAGAAUAAGGAUCGGCUAACUCCGUGCCAGCAGCCGCGGUAAUACGGAGGAUCCGAGCGUUAUCCGGAUUUAUUGGGUUUAAAGGGUGCGUAGGUGGUUUGAUAAGUCAGCGGUGAAAGUUUGCAGCUUAACUGUAAAAAUGCCGUUGAAGCUGUCGGACUUGAGUGUAAAUGAGGUAGGCGGAAUGCGUGGUGUAGCGGUGAAAUGCAUAGAUAUCACGCAGAACUCCGAUUGCGAAGGCAGCUUACUAAGCUACAACUGACACUGAAGCACGAAAGUGUGGGGAGCAAACAGGAUUAGAUACCCCAGUAGUCC